This 439-nucleotide ribosomal RNA is filed under the name uncultured bacterium. RNAcentral's name for it is "partial 16S ribosomal RNA". It matches the Rfam family "Bacterial small subunit ribosomal RNA", at positions 339 to 795 of the family's 1533-position model. The record is from RNAcentral.
CUACGGGCGGCUGCAGUGGGGAAUAUUGCACAAUGGAGGAAACUCUGAUGCAGCGACGCCGCGUGAGGGAAGAAGGUUUUCGGAUUGUAAACCUCUGUCUUCGGGGACGAUAAUGACGGUACCCGAGGAGGAAGCCACGGCUAACUACGUGCCAGCAGCCGCGGUAAAACGUAGGUGGCAAGCGUUGUCCGGAAUUACUGGGUGUAAAGGGAGCGCAGGUGGGACAGCAAGUUCAAUGUGAAAUCUAUGGGCUCAACCCAUAAAUUGCGUUGGAUACUGCAGUUCUUGAGUGGAGUAGAGGCAGGCGGAAUUCCAGGUGUAGCGGUGGAAUGCGUAGAUAUCUGGAGGAACACCAGUGGCGAAGGCGGCCUGCUGGGCUCUAACUGACACUGAGGCUCGAAAGCGUGGGUAGCAAACAGGAUUAGAUACCCGAGUAGUC